This 485-nucleotide ribosomal RNA is filed under the name uncultured bacterium. RNAcentral's name for it is "partial 16S ribosomal RNA". It matches the Rfam family "Bacterial small subunit ribosomal RNA", at positions 29 to 507 of the family's 1533-position model. The record is from RNAcentral.
AUGAACGCUGGCGGCGUGCCUAAUACAUGCAAGUCGAACGCUGGAGAUCUAGCUUGCUAGAUCGAAGGAGUGGCGAACGGGUGAGUAAUACAUAAGCAACCUACCCACGAAGACUGGGAUAAUCUCUGGAAACGGGGACUAAUACCGGAUAGGUAAUCGGAAGGCAUCUUCUGGUUAUUAAAGGUUAAAAACACUGGUGGAUGGGCUUAUGGCGCAUUAGUUAGUUGGUGAGGUAACGGCCCACCAAGACGAUGAUGCGUAGCCGGCCUGAGAGGGUGAACGGCCACAUGGGGACGGGGACACGGCCCAGACUCCUACGGGAGGCAGCAGUAGGGAAUUUUCGGAAAUGGGGGCAACCCUGACCGAGCAACGCCGCGUGAGUGAAGACGGCCUUCGGGUUGUAAAGCUCUGUUGUAAGGGAAGAACGGUAGAUAGAGAAUAUCUAAGUGACGGUACCUUACCAGAAAGCCACGGCUAACUACGUG